RNAcentral lists this ribosomal RNA (207 nucleotides) under uncultured bacterium. Its description in RNAcentral is "partial 16S ribosomal RNA". It matches the Rfam family "Bacterial small subunit ribosomal RNA", at positions 568 to 774 of the family's 1533-position model. The record is from RNAcentral.
AGCGUAGACGGUGUGGCAAGUCUGAUGUGAAAGGCAUGGGCUCAACCUGUGGACUGCAUUGGAAACUGUCAUGCUUGAGUGCCGGAGGGGUAAGCGGAAUUCCUAGUGUAGCGGUGAAAUGCGUAGAUAUUAGGAGGAACACCAGUAGCGAAGGCGGCUUACUGGACGGUAACUGACGUUGAGGCUCGAAAGCGUGGGGAGCAAACA